This 692-nucleotide ribosomal RNA is filed under the name uncultured fungus. Its description in RNAcentral is "eukaryotic LSU rRNA". It matches the Rfam family "Eukaryotic large subunit ribosomal RNA", at positions 1 to 606 of the family's 3401-position model. Lineage: Eukaryota; Fungi. The record is from RNAcentral.
CGAAGAAGUAAAAUUCUUUAAGACUUGAUCUCGAAUCAGACAAGACUACCCGCUGAACUUAAGCAUAUCAAUAAGCGGAGGAAAAGAAACUAACAAGGAUUCCCCUAGUAACGGCGAGUGAAGCGGGAAUAGCUCAAAUUUGAAAUCUCACAGGUUCCCUGUGCGAAUUGUAGUUUAAAGAAGUAUUUACGGAGACAACCUAGGCAUAAGUCCUUUGGAACAGGGCAUCAUAGAAGGUGAGAAUCCUGUAUAUGGUCUGGUGUUGUUUCUAUGUGUUAUACUUUCAAAGAGUCGGGUUGUUUGGGAAUGCAGCCCAAAAUGGGUGGUAAAUACCAUCUAAAGCUAAAUAUUGGCGAGAGACCGAUAGCGAACAAGUACCGUGAGGGAAAGAUGAAAAGAACUUUGAAAAGAGAGUUAAAUAGUACGUGAAAUUGUCAAAAGGGAAACACUUGAAACCAGUCUUGUUUGUAGAAUCCCAACUGGCCUAACGGCUAGCAUAUGUUUCUACAGGCAGGUCAACAUCGGUUUCGACUGGAGUACAAAGCUUGAGGAAGGUGGCCUUCGGGUGUUAUAGCCUCAAGUCAUGCUCUGGUUGGGACCGAGGAAUGCAGCUCAGUCUUGGAGACCCGUUCGCCAGUUGAAUUACUUCCUGGACUACUUGUAGAUCAGGGAGGAGCUAAGACUGCUCGGGC